UUGUGCCCUUGAGGCGUGGCUUCCGGAGCUAACGCGUUAAGUCGACCGCCUGGGGAGUACGGCCGCAAGGUUAAAACUCAAAUGAAUUGACGGGGGCCCGCACAAGCGGUGGAGCAUGUGGUUUAAUUCGAUGCAACGCGAAGAACCUUACCUGGUCUUGACAUCCACGGAAGUUUUCAGAGAUGAGAAUGUGCCUUCGGGAACCGUGAGACAGGUGCUGCAUGGCUGUCGUCAGCUCGUGUUGUGAAAUGUUGGGUUAAGUCCCGCAACGAGCGCAACCCUUAUCCUUUGUUGCCAGCGGUCCGGCCGGGAACUCAAAGGAGACUGCCAGUGAUAAACUGGAGGAAGGUGGGGAUGACGUCAAGUCAUCAUGGCCCUUACGACCAGGGCUACACACGUGCUACAAUGGCGCAUACAAAGAGAAGCGACCUCGCGAGAGCAAGCGGACCUCAUAAAGUGCGUCGUAGUCCGGAUUGGAGUCUGCAACUCGACUCCAUGAAGUCGGAAUCGCUAGUAAUCGUGGAUCAGAAUGCCACGGUGAAUACGUUCCCGGGCCUUGUACACACCGCCCGUCACACCAUGGGAGUGGGUUGCAAA
RNAcentral lists this ribosomal RNA (597 nucleotides) under Shigella dysenteriae. Its description in RNAcentral is "bacterial SSU rRNA". It matches the Rfam family "Bacterial small subunit ribosomal RNA", at positions 824 to 1421 of the family's 1533-position model. Lineage: Bacteria; Pseudomonadati; Pseudomonadota; Gammaproteobacteria; Enterobacterales; Enterobacteriaceae. The record is from RNAcentral.